RNAcentral lists this ribosomal RNA (253 nucleotides) under uncultured bacterium. RNAcentral's name for it is "partial 16S ribosomal RNA". It matches the Rfam family "Bacterial small subunit ribosomal RNA", at positions 524 to 776 of the family's 1533-position model. The record is from RNAcentral.
UACGUAGGGGGCAAGCGUUGUCCGGAUUUAUUGGGCGUAAAGAGCGUGUAGGCGGCCAGGUAGGUCUGCUGUGAAAGUCGGGGGCUCAACCCUCGAACGCCGGUGGAAACUGUCGGGCUAGAGUGCGGAAGAGGCGAGUGGAAUUCCUGGUGUAGCGGUGAAAUGCGCAGAUAUCAGGAGGAACACCAAUUGCGAAGGCAGCUCGCUGGGACGUUACUGACGCUGAGACGCGAAAGCGUGGGGAGCAAACAGG